CGGACUUGGUCUCUGGCCAGCAGGAGCAGCAACAGAGAAGCACAGCAAACCCGUGCUGACUCCUUUGGCGGUUUUAAUGCCAGACAAUGAGAACUCGGUGCGAAUCAAACACAGUACAGAAGAGAGACGCACAAGGAGCCAGGUAACUGUAUGACACAAUGUGACUGCUGCUGAAACAGACAUCUAGGAAGCCCUGGGCCUCAGGAAGGAGACCUCGACUGCCGUGAAGAGCUGAGGAGGAGUCACACAGAACACAAUACCUGACACCACGAGAGGAGGAGAAGCUUAACUUGGCUCGCAAUUCACUCCUUGACAAGGCAGAGGCAUCACGGGGGGAAGGGCGCGGCUGAGCGAAGGCUCAGCUCCAGGCUGCCAGAAGCAGAAGCUCAGCUGGAAGCAGUGCAGUGCAGCAGUGCGGACAGGAGGGAGGGAGGAUCCAGGUGCAGCUCGGAAAUUCACAGCUUCAUGGCCGCCCAGAGUAAAACUCCCCAACCGACUCCCAUGCUAAUCAAGUCGACAGUUAUGCUUUCCUCAAGGAAAACA
Molecule: long non-coding RNA, 543 nt
Organism: Fukomys damarensis (Damara mole-rat)
Lineage: Eukaryota; Metazoa; Chordata; Mammalia; Rodentia; Bathyergidae
Exons: 3
Source: RefSeq, a predicted model, not a curated record